RNAcentral lists this transfer RNA (76 nucleotides) under Peptococcaceae bacterium BRH_c4b. RNAcentral's name for it is "tRNA-Thr". It matches the Rfam family "tRNA". From Rfam's summary of the family: Transfer RNA (tRNA) molecules are approximately 80 nucleotides in length. The record is from RNAcentral. Lineage: Bacteria; Bacillati; Bacillota; Clostridia; Eubacteriales; Peptococcaceae. RNAcentral also lists the same sequence under 2 other names.
GCCGCUAUAGCUCAGUAGGUAGAGCGCAUCCUUGGUAAGGAUGAGGUCACCGGUUCAAAUCCGGUUAGCGGCUCCA